This 1332-nucleotide long non-coding RNA is filed under the name Ornithorhynchus anatinus (platypus). Its description in RNAcentral is "lncRNA (ENSOANG00000049246.1)". Lineage: Eukaryota; Metazoa; Chordata; Mammalia; Monotremata; Ornithorhynchidae. The record is from RNAcentral.
AGGUCACGUGGACGGGCGGCGCGGCCAGGGGAGCGGAAGUGGGCGAGGCGGCGGCCCCGGCCCGGGGGGGGGGGGGGGGCUGGGCCGACCGGGCCGGACACGCGACACCCGCCGCCCGCCGCCACCGGCCAGGACCGGCCAGGACCGGCCAGGACCGGCCAGGACCGGACGAGCAGCGUGAGCCUCUGCGCACGCGCCUCCCCUCCCCUGCUUAGCCCACAAACCCUCGCUGGGCCUCCCCCGCCCUCCCCCCAUCCUCUCCCCUCCACCUUCUCCCUCCACCCUCUCCCCCACCCUCUCCCCCACCCUCUGUCCCACCCUCCCCCCCACCCUCUCUCCCAUCCUUGCCCCCAUCCUCUCCCUCCAUCCUCUCCCCCAGCCUCUCCCCCCCAAUCCUCUCCCCUCCAGCCUCUCCCCCAACCUCUCCACUAUCCUCUCCACUAUUCUCUCUACUAUCCUCUCCACUAUCCUCUCCACUAUCCUCUCCUCCAUCCUCUCCUCCAUCCUCUCCCCCCAUCCUCUCCCCCCAACCUCUCCACUAUCUUCUCCCCACAACCUCUCCCCCCAACCUCUCCUGCAUCCUCUUUCCCAGCAUCUCCCCCAUCCUCUUCCCCAUCCUCUCCCCCAUCCUCUCCUCCAACCUCUCCUCCAUCCUCUCCCCCAACCUUUCCCCCAUCUUUUUCUCCCAUCUUUUUCCCCCUUCCUCUUCCCCCCAUCCUCUUCCCCCCAUCCUCUUCCCCCCAUCCUCUUCCCCCCAUCCUCUCCCCCCAACCUCUCCUGCAUCCUCUUUCCCAGCAUCUCCCCCAUCCUCUUCCCCAGCCUCUUCCCCAGCCUCUUCCCCAGCCUCUCCCCCAUCCUCUCCUCCAACCUCUCCACUAUCCUCUCCUCCAUCCUCUCCCCCAACCUUUCCCUCAUCUUUUUCCCCCUUCACCUUUCCCUUUUCCUCUUCCCCCCAUCCUCUUCCCCCCAUCCUCUUCCCCCCAUCCUCUUCCCCCCAUCCUCUUCCCCCCACCCUCUUCCCCCCACCCUCUUCCCCCCACCCUCUUCCCCCCACCCUCUUCCCCCCAUCCUCUCCCCCCCCACCCUCUUCCCCCCACCCUCUUCCCCCCACCCUCUUCCCCCCAUCCUCUCCCCUCCAUCCUCUCCCUCCAUCUCCGGGACACCAAUCUGCUUUCUCCACCCCCCCUCUCGGUUGGCCUCCCGAGCCUGCGCUGUGGACCGGUGAGGGAGGGGCUUCUGGCCCUCCGUGGGACCGGCCCAGUCGCUUUCUUACUCGCCCCUUGGCCUGGGGGACCGACAGGGGUUGGGAGCCCAGGCCAGGCCUGGUGCUGA